UUUUUUUAUUUUUUUUUUUUUUUUACUUUUAUUCCAGCCAUCACUGGAGCAUUCUAUACUUGCUUCUUCAGCGCGUUGGCCUUGCUCUUUGCUGUUUGCAUGAAAGGAUUGUUAGCUACGCUAAAUUACGAAAAACCAAGAUGGAUUCUUGAAGAAAGUUUAAUAGGAACCAAUCCAGGUUUAGGAUUUCGACCUAUAUCCAAUAACGCCGAUGAACGAUCGUUAAUUUGGUACAGUUCAUCGGAUCCCAGCUCUGUACAAAAAUGGACAGGCUUGUUGGAUACAUUUUUAGAAGAAUAUAUUAAUUCAUCGUUGUUACCAAACGGUGGUAGAAAUCAACAAAUUUGUAAUUAUAACACACCGGUUAAACCAGGACACGUUUGCGCGGUUGAGGUGAACAACUGGGGCCCUUGCUCGCCCAAUCGUCAAUACGGUUUCAAUAAUUCUGCUCCUUGCGUCUUCAUUAAAUUAAAUAGAAUAUACGGUUGGAUACCAGAAUAUUACAACGACACCGAAAAUUUACCGAGCGAGAUGCCAUCUGAUCUCGUUGAACAUAUUAAAUCCACCAACAGUUCAUGGUUAAAUACCGUAUGGGUAUCCUGCAAAGGUGCAAAUCCUCAUGACAACGAGGAUAUCGGUGAAUUAAAUUAUUAUCCCGAAAGCCAUGGAUUUCCAGGAUAUUAUUAUCCAUAUCAAAAUUAUCCUGGCUAUUUAAGCCCUGUCGUUGCUGUCCAUUUUCUUCGGCCAGCAAGAAAUAAAAUAAUCAACGUCGAAUGUCGAGCCUGGGCAAAGAAUAUAAAAUAUAUGACGACUCAAAAUCAACAGCAUGGCAUGGUACAUUUUGAGCUUAUGAUCGAUGAAUGAUAGUUAUUGCAUUUCUAUGUAGAAAAAUAUAAACGUUGUACCUUCGGAUACAAAAAUAUCUGCAGAAUAAUGUGGACAACGGGAACGAAAGAUGUGGUCCAUAAAAAAUUAAAGACGUAAUAAGAUUAGACGUAAAAGUCAGAAAAUGCUGUUUACUCGAUCCAUUGAAUUCACCAUGAAACUAUUUCGAUUUCAUGAUUGUGUUUAUUGUUAAAUGUUGGCAAAAAUUACUGUAAAAUAAAAUAAUUAUUAAUCAUUGGCACAAUUAUUAUAAUUAUAAAAGUUAAAUAUAGAUAAGACAUCAUCGCUAAAUAAUAUUAAAAUAACAAUUACGUCUUGUUUACGUAUUCUAGGAGACAAAAAAUAUAUGUAUAGCUACUGGUACUUAUCACAAGCUAAUAUUUCAA
Apis florea (little honeybee) is the source of this 1271-nucleotide unclassified non-coding RNA. NCBI's taxonomy places the organism in Eukaryota, Metazoa, Arthropoda, Insecta, Hymenoptera, Apidae. The record is from RefSeq and is a predicted model, not a curated record.